Molecule: ribosomal RNA, 118 nt
Filed under: Pteropus alecto (black flying fox)
Lineage: Eukaryota; Metazoa; Chordata; Mammalia; Chiroptera; Pteropodidae
Also listed under: 1 other name
Source: RNAcentral
GUCUACGGCCAUGCCACCUCGAACAAGCCCUAUUCCAUCUGAUCUCGGAAGCUAAGCAGGGUUGGGCCUGGUUAGUACUUGGAUGGGAGACCAUUAGGAAGACCAGGUGCUGUAGGCG